Molecule: long non-coding RNA, 233 nt
Filed under: Elaeis guineensis (African oil palm)
Lineage: Eukaryota; Viridiplantae; Streptophyta; Magnoliopsida; Arecales; Arecaceae
Description: long non-coding RNA (EGUI_LNC056409)
Source: RNAcentral
AAUCAUUGUUGGCAUCUCUGGUACUUCACAGAGAUUAUAGAGAGACGAGUUUAGAGGUAGGUUGUGUUAUCUAUCUUCUAACUUUGUAAAUAUGUUCUUUGAUAGCUUUCAAAGAACGUUCUUUUUCUGCUAAGUGGCUAAUUAGACUGGUCAUAUGGUGGAGAAACUCUUUUUCAGGUUUAAAUAGAUGAGCAUCCUAUACUUUAUAAAUUAUAGAACAUGUUUCUUGGGGA